UAUUCCUAAAUGCCACUUGCAUUAAUAAGCGAAUGAUAAUCCUCUAGUCUUUGCAGUACAAACAGCUAUAAACGAUUGGUUCUCACGUUGAUUCCAUCCAUUACUUAAUAUCAUAGAAAAAGUAAAGUAUCCAUAGAACUAUCUAUGUAACAAUAAAUUCAUAUAUAUUCCCUUUUGUUUUGCAGAUGAAGAACAUAUUGCAAAAAGCCAUGACUACAAUUCUACUUCUUUCACUGUUGUCUAUACAAAAGACACGAUCUAUGGACACAUUCGAGAGCUAUGUGCGAAGAAAUGUUCCGAGUGGCUUUACAAUGGCGGCGUUCGUGGAGACAUGUGAGGGAUGUGGCGUUCUGUACGGAAAUAAGAUGACCUACAAAUGUUUGUCAGAUAAAUCCUUAAGUACAUUCAAAGGAUGCUUCAUCGCAGUUCAUGAUAGAAGAUAACAGAUCGUGACUUUGUUUUAACAGUACCUAAUAUAUCUAAAAAUCAUUUUUUACAAAACAAAACAAAACA
Mercenaria mercenaria is the source of this 513-nucleotide long non-coding RNA. RefSeq lists it as uncharacterized. The transcript is spliced from 2 exons. The record is from RefSeq and is a predicted model, not a curated record. Lineage: Eukaryota; Metazoa; Mollusca; Bivalvia; Venerida; Veneridae.